GGGGUGAGAGAGAGGGAGAGAGGUGUGGAGGGGUGAGAGAGAGGGAGAGAGGUGUGGAGGGGUGAGAGAGAGAUAGAGAGGUGUGGAGGGGUGAGAGAGAGGGAGAGAGGUGUGGAGGGGUGAGAGAGAGAUAGAGAGGUGUGGAGGGGUGAGAGAGAGGGAGAGAGGUGUGGAGGGGUGAGAGAGAGAUAGAGAGGUGUGGAGGGGUGAGAGAGAGGGAGAGAGAGAGGUGGAGGGGUGAGAGAGAUGUGGAGGGGUGAGAGAGGGAGAGAGGUGUGGAGGGGUGAGAGAGAGGGAGAGAGGUGUGGAGGGGUGAGAGAGAGGGAGAGAGAGUGUGGAGGGGUGAGAGAGAGGGAGAGAGAGUGUGGAGGGGUGAGAGAGAUGUGGAGGGGUGAGAGAGAGGGAGAGAGUGUGGAGGGGUGAGAGAGAGGGAGAGAGGUGUGGAGGGGUGAGAGAGAGGGAGAGAGAGAGAAAAAGAAAACGAGAGAGAUAGAGAGGUGUGGAGGGGUGAGAGAGAGGGAGAGAGGUGUGGAGGGGUGAGAGAGAGAUGUGGAGGGGUAAGAGAGAGGUAGAGAGGUGUGGAGGGGUGAGAGAGAGGAGAGAGGUGUGGAGGGGUGAGAGAGAGGGAGAGAGAUGUGGAGGGGUGAGAGAGAGAUAGAGAGGUGUGGAGGGGUGAGAGAGAGGGAGAGAGGUGUGGAGGGUUGAGAGAGAGGUGUGGAGGGGUGAGAGAGAGGGAGAGAGGUGUGGAGGGGUGAGCGAGAGGGAGAGAGAGUGUGACCCACUUCCGGUGCAGGUGUUUGAUCUUGGUUGACACUGAGCACACAGCAGGAAUGACUAUCAACACACGUAGCUGACUGAGAUGGCCUCCAAAACAGAGCAGCACUCCACAACACUGAGAUCAGACAUCUCUGUCUCUCUCACGCUCUCUUAUUGAUGGAUGUGGCGAUAGAAAUACAUCUCUAUAGCUAGUUGGACUUUGAGGAAAUCUAUGUCCUUUCGGG
Long non-coding RNA from Oncorhynchus tshawytscha (Chinook salmon), 1001 nucleotides. Lineage: Eukaryota; Metazoa; Chordata; Actinopteri; Salmoniformes; Salmonidae. The record is from Ensembl.